CAUAUUUUUCAUAAACCCUACCCCAAGAGAAGCAGCACCCCCACAAAAAUCUCCACGCUUCUGCCGAUCCAUUUAAAAAAAAUCCAUUUUCCACGAAAACCUUUCAACCUUUUCAGAAACACCUUACCAAUCAAAGGCAGAAGCUUCUUUGAUUCAAACCUGCCGGAACGGAUCAAGACAAAGCCAGAAGCUUUUGCUGGAUUUUCUCAACUAUUUCUGCAGCUCAUAGCACACAAGAAACACCAGAUUUGGCUGGAAUUUUUAUGCAUAUAAUUUACACUCAUAGGAAGAUCAGCCACACGCACUUAAUGGGAUGUCACCAAUAGCUUACAGCUUCACCUCCAACGACUCUCCACCGCCCCUUAGUCCUUUACAAUUCAUUGACACGCUCAUUGGACGCUCCUAACUGGAAAUAAGAAAUUGAUUAAUUGUUUUCUUUGUCUGUGUGUGUCUGAAACGGCAGCCUCUCUUUGAUCUUUUUCUAAACGAAAAUUCCAACUCCUCUCAGCCAUGGUUGGAGCUUGGCCGGUCUGUUUUUGUGCAAGAAAUCCAUUAGUUCCAUUUUUUUGAUCUAGUUCGAGUUUUCCGGCGAGCUUCGAGGUCACCGAUUUCCGAUCCCGGCUCUUGUUCAUACCAUUGCUGUAAUUGAAAGGGUGUCGCACCUUGAGGUAUGGAUCCAUGUUCCAGAGCUCGAGCAUGACAGAUAACCCAGGACCAUCGCAUUUGGGAGCUUGUUUGAGGAAACUUUUUAUGUUUUGAGUCUAUUUUUGUGGUGUUUCUUUUGCUUUCUAGUACUGUCUAGUAGUAUUCAGUCUUUUAGUUGGUGUCAGAGUUUGUCGUAGUAUAGUUGAGUUUGUCGAGUCUCUCGUUAUCAUACUUCUUGUUUUGUAUUUGAAAACUGAAAAAAAAGUUAUAAAUGAAAAAUCCAAAAAGAUUUUUGUUUUUGGUUUA
Long non-coding RNA from Nicotiana attenuata, 951 nucleotides. RefSeq lists it as uncharacterized. The record is from RefSeq and is a predicted model, not a curated record. NCBI's taxonomy places the organism in Eukaryota, Viridiplantae, Streptophyta, Magnoliopsida, Solanales, Solanaceae. The transcript is spliced from 2 exons.